This 253-nucleotide ribosomal RNA is filed under the name uncultured bacterium. Its description in RNAcentral is "partial 16S ribosomal RNA". It matches the Rfam family "Bacterial small subunit ribosomal RNA", at positions 524 to 776 of the family's 1533-position model. The record is from RNAcentral.
UACGUAGGGUCCGAGCGUUGUCCGGAUUUAUUGGGCGUAAAGAGCUCGUAGGCGGUUCGUCGCGUCGGCUGUGAAAACCUGAGGCUCAACCUCAGGCCUGCAGUCGAUACGGGCGGACUUGAGUACUGCAGGGGAGACUGGAAUUCCUGGUGUAGCGGUGAAAUGCGCAGAUAUCAGGAGGAACACCGGUGGCGAAGGCGGGUCUCUGGGCUGACACUGACGCUCAUGCACGAAAGCGUGGGGAGCAAACAGG